UAAAUGGAAAAGGCAGGACUCUCGAGAAUGAUGAGAGACACUCAGUGUGAAAUCAACAAAAUGGCAUAGAAAGAGCCUCCCAGUAUAACCGGAUUUUUUUUUAUGGGAUCACACUGACCUUCCAGGUCAGUGGGAAGAGAAUGGAUUCUGUGAUCAUGACUAGCCAUUUAAUAAAGCUAGCCUUUCUAUGUCAGUGGCUCCUACAGAGCUCCGUAAGAUGUCAGGCAAGGAACAGAGAAAAAUAAAUAAAUUCCAGCCUGUCAUCUAAGCUGAUCUCUAUCAUAUUCGUCUCCUCCACUCUACUGUGAGACAUGAAGAAGGACUGUGACCCCUUCUUUAAGACAAAUGCAGCUUGAAAGAAACCCUACCCAGGUCACCCUGCCGCCUGAGAGUUUGGGAUCUUGCAUAAAAUAAGCCUAUGUUCUUUCUCCACCUUCCAAGAAGUCGUUGGCAAUCUGUAGCCAUGUACAUUGGGAAAGGAAUCAAGUUGGAUGCUUUGCCUGGGGCCCCCGGAUCCUCUGCCUUGCAGAGUUCCCUCCCUUUGGUCUGAAGCCUUCCAGCCGGGGCUUUAAUUACCCCCACACCUUCUCGAUCUCUGUAUUUAUCAGGAUUGUUUGACUUGCGCGUGACUGAAACUCAACUCAAACCAUCUUUAUUUACCAACUCACAUACCUGGGAAAGAUACCAGGUUUAUCACAGAAUCUAAAGAAGAGCUGCAGAGAUCGGAGUCUUGAAAUUGGAACUGCAAUACAACCCUACCAGAGACUUUUCACUUUCUUUCUUUCUCCUUUUCUCACCUUGGCUUCUUUCUGAGAAAGGUUUCCUCUCUGCGAUAGCCAGCAUCCCCAAAUGCGCAUUCUCCUGGGUUAGCAAACACAGCCCUUAAACCACCUUCUCCAGGGGCGCCUGGGUGGCUCAGUCGGUUAAGCGUCCGCCCUCG
Molecule: long non-coding RNA, 940 nt
Organism: Neofelis nebulosa (Clouded leopard)
Lineage: Eukaryota; Metazoa; Chordata; Mammalia; Carnivora; Felidae
Exons: 3
Source: RefSeq, a predicted model, not a curated record